CACUAUAAAAUAAUAUUUACUAUUCAAUUACAACUAAACGUAACAGACUUGUACAGAAAUUCAUCAGGGAAAUGAUGUCUUUUGUGUCAGCUUUUCUUGUGGCUGUCGCUGCAUUCGUUGUAUUACUUGAUGGCACACCAGCAGUACUCUGCUUCGUUGGUCCCGACCCUCGUGAACUCAUUGACCCUUGGAGUCAGCGACAGCGUGCAGGAAACAAAUUCAUUCUUUUUUAGAAUAAUAUCUACCAUAUCACGAUUUUUUAUUUGUAAAUCACGGUAAUUUAAGUGUUACUAUGUUUAAAAAAGAACUUUAACUUUCCAGAUGAUUUUUAAAAUAUUGAUUUGAAAGGUGAAUUUGAAGGGAAUCCUGACUAGAGUUUUCCAGGGAUUAUUGCAAUAAUAUAAUACAACUCUAAAAUACAUAUCGGAUUUAUUAAGCAAUAUUUAAAAAAGAAACAAAAUCCAUAGCUUCGGUGACAAUUUCUGAUACUUCCCAGUAUAACCAGUGCAGAGGUGUUCUUUCCUGAUAUAUCAAUAUGGAUUAAGCUAGGUAAUAUAUUAUAAUUCCAAGUAUAUUUUACUAUUAAAUCUGAGUUUGAAGAGAAUCAUGUUUUUUGGUACUGUAUCAUACAAUAUCAGUGUCUCCUGUAAAACAAAAUCAAAAGGUGCCGAUAUAUCAAUACGAAGUACCUAUGCUUUGAAAUAUACCGCCUUGCUCUAGAGAAUUUCAAAGCCUACAAUUAAAUAACAUUUUUUAACAAGAGAGAGGUGUAUUUGCAAGGGAAAAUUGCAUUUUAAUCAUGUUAAUAUUAUUAAUUUAUCAAAUUAAUAAUUUUUAAUGGAAAUACAAUUGUUUUAUAACUAUCAACAAAUUAUUAAACAUUACAAUGUGACGCAUAAUUUAUUCAGACAUUAUAGUUAACUUAAUUAAUUAUAUUAAAGUUAAAAGAGAUCA
Macrosteles quadrilineatus (aster leafhopper) is the source of this 954-nucleotide long non-coding RNA. RefSeq lists it as uncharacterized. The transcript is spliced from 4 exons. The record is from RefSeq and is a predicted model, not a curated record. NCBI's taxonomy places the organism in Eukaryota, Metazoa, Arthropoda, Insecta, Hemiptera, Cicadellidae.